RNAcentral lists this ribosomal RNA (474 nucleotides) under uncultured bacterium. Its description in RNAcentral is "partial 16S ribosomal RNA". It matches the Rfam family "Bacterial small subunit ribosomal RNA", at positions 28 to 507 of the family's 1533-position model. The record is from RNAcentral.
GAUGAACGCUAGCGGCAGGCCUAACACAUGCAAGUCGAGGGAUAAGCCUUCGGGCUGAAGCCGGCGCACGGGUGCGUAACGCGUAUACAAUCUGCCUUUCACAUAGGGAUAGCGCGGAGAAAUUUGGAUUAAUACCUAAUGGUAUAUAAGAGGGGCAUCAUUUUUAUAUUAAAGCUUUGGUGGUGAAAGAUGAGUAUGCGUUCUAUUAGCUAGUUGGAGAGGUAACGGCUCCCCAAGGCGACGAUAGAUAGGGGUUCUGAGAGGGACGUCCCCCACACGGGUACUGAGAUACGGACCAGGCUCCUACGGGAGGAAGCAGUGAGGAAGAUUGGACGAUGGUCGGAAGACUGAUCCAGCCAUGCCGCGUGCAGGACGACGGUCCUAUGGAUUGUAACCUGCUUUUGUAAGGGAAGAAUAAGCAGUACGUGUACUUUGAUGACGGUACCUUACAAAUAAGCAUCGGCUAACUACGUG